GGGGAGACACCCCAGAAUUCCUAGAUGAAUGCAGCCAGGAGCUCUUCUCGAGCCAGGAGGAAGGCAGCCAGCUGGAGCAGUUGGAUCUUGU
Non-coding RNA from Chelonoidis abingdonii (Abingdon island giant tortoise), 91 nucleotides. The record is from RefSeq and is a predicted model, not a curated record. NCBI's taxonomy places the organism in Eukaryota, Metazoa, Chordata, Testudines, Testudinidae.